Zonotrichia leucophrys gambelii is the source of this 3014-nucleotide long non-coding RNA. RefSeq lists it as uncharacterized. The transcript has 7 exons. The record is from RefSeq and is a predicted model, not a curated record. Lineage: Eukaryota; Metazoa; Chordata; Aves; Passeriformes; Passerellidae.
UUUUCCAUAGAAGAUGUCUGCAACAUGAGCCAUGCCCAGCUCCCCCUGAAGCCUGGUGGCUCUGGCACACCUCAGCACACAGGGAUUUGGGGAUAGAAGAGACAGAAAAAAUGCAAUUUUUAAGGCCGCAGUUACUGGUUUUACCUGGAGGCAGGAAGAGCCACUUCCGUCCUGGUCCUGCAGAUGGUGCCAGGGAAGAAGCUGGAAAAUGCCCUCUGAUGUGGAGUUUGUGUAUUGGUUUCUAAGCUGUAGCUACAGGCACCUGAACAAACAUGCUCUCAAUCCAGAUCACUUUGUGAGGAGAGUGAUUACAAGCUUGCAGCAGGUCCUGCUGGCCAUCAGGCAGAGGAAAUCCCACACAGCAGUUUGUCUCUAGAUAAACUCAAGAUGAAACCCAUCUGAGGCACUCCUUUCUUCUGCACAUUUUCUGCUCACGCUGCGUCAAACCCAAUUACCAUCAUUAUCCCAGUUCUGUCACACUCUAUAAACACAAGCCUAAAUAAACCAACCAGCACAGCCAAAUCCUGUGCAAGGAAGGAUCUCGUUAGGGCUCAGCAGAGAGUGCUUUGCAGAAGCUGGGGGCAAAAUGGGAUUCAAGAGUCUCAGGCCUUGCUUUAGCAUCAGAAACAUCUCCUGAGAGCAGCACCUCAUAUUAUCUGUGGUUUUCAGCUUGGCUUGGGGCAAGGGAACUCUCACCUCCCUGAAAUCCGUAGGGUUUCUAACUCUGUGAGCAUGGCACGGGAUUUAAUCAGAGCUCCAAAAUAAAAAUCAGACAAACUGUACCUAACAGUAAGUCCAAAACCCCAGAAGUGUAGAUUUUCAAAGCCUUGCUCUAGCCUCAGGGCAGUAACUGCAUACAAGAGAGUCUGGAUUGAAAAAAAAAAAAAACAACAAACAAAAAACCCUAAAAAACCCACAAAACUCUUACUGAAACCAGCUACAGAGGAGGUAAUUACUCUGUGUAUGUAAAAGGAAAUGCAAGGGGGGGGGGAUAUUUUACCUGCAUCUUCCAGCUCCCCCAGCCUGGGCUGGAUCCAAAGCCUAUAAAAGCCAGGGGAAAGCUCUCAUUGCCUCCAUGAGACCUGGACCAGGUCCCAGCUGCUCUUUUAAUCCGGAGGAAGCAUCCACAUGUUUCCAGAAGGGGAAGGCAUUCUGCAGCAUGCACAGGUGAAUUUUCAUGUAAUUUCAAGGGUAGCAGCUGCUUCAACUGGCUUCAAGCAGAGAGAGGAAUCCAGAUUUUCUGGAAAUCAGAGGCAAAGGAUUUCUGCUCUGGCAGCCAAAACAAUGCAGAGAGACAAAAAAAAAAAAAAAAUCACAUGAAGGAGAUGGUCUAAACAUGCAAUGUGCAAAGUGAGGAGACUCUAAGAGAUUUGCCUGGAACUCUGAAACUGGAUUUCUGCCUGCUGCAAACAGGCCUGGCCAUAUAAUGGGUUUAUUAAUUGACUUCAGCAGGGGUUGAUGAGAUCUAUUUCUUCACUGGAAGCUUGUUCCACAAAGAAAAUGUGCUGCCAACACCCUCACUUCUACCUGCUGCAUUUCUGAGGAACCUGCACCUCAGAUCUCACUUGAUUCUUUUCCCUUGUAUUAAAGAAAUUUGAGAGGUUAUGGCACAUCUGCUGCUGCUCUCUUGGACUUGUUGUAGCCUUUGUACCUGUGGAUUUAACCAGAUGUAGGCUCCACUAAAAUGGGCUAAGGGCAGUGCUUGGUGGGCCUGUGUCCAUUUAGUUUUGGGCUACUGAGACAAGCCCUACAUCUAGUGAUGCAGAAAUGCUAUAGAGCCAAAAAAUAAAUAAUGAGCCAGUGUUUCUGCCGUUUCCCAUCCCAAAUCCCUAUGUGGCCACAAGCUUUCCUUUUAGGGAAAAGCUGUCCAGUGUGCAGUGUGAUAAUGCAAUGUGAGAUAUUGGAGCUCUUGGUUUUCCUUGUAAUCAAGUCUGGAAUUCAGCCUUUCUGUGAGUGUUUUAUUAUCCUCUCUGGUGAUAAAUAUCUUUGUGUGCAUGGUGUGAGCUCUGUGGAAGGUGUUUGCUGGGGGAAGGAUGGCCCUGUGGGAAAAUGAUCGAAGUAUGAACUCAGACUAGAGCGAUCUGGCUUUACUGCAGCUCUGUCUGUGCAACCACAGACAAAUAACUUGAUUUCCCCAUUUUGUUCAGGUUCUGCACCCUUUGCUCACACAGUGAGGCCUAACAGCCCCGUCUCAGUUUGGUGCAGGUGCAGGUUCUUGCUACAGGACUUGCUGUGGUGUCGGCUUGACUCUCUCCAGCUCUGCUGGGUUUAUGCAGGAUGCCAUACACAUAUAUAUUUCCUUAGGGGGUAGCAUAAUGGACACCAAAAACCCCAAACUGUAGCAAUGCUCAAUGCCAGAGAGUCCCCACACAACGAAGAGUGUUCAUUCUUUUCCUUUAAAACAUCUGUGGGAAGUAAGGUGGCGUAAAUAGUGGCAAAGCAAGGCCCUGUUCAUACAAAAUUAAAUAACAAAUUUUAUUUAAAAAGUUAAAAGAAAAUAAAUUAAAUAAUAAAUAAUAAUUUUUGUGUUCUUCUUAUUACCAAGCGACAAAGAAGAGAAGCAUCUUGUCCAUGGCUUGUGUUUCUUUUUGUCAGAACCCAUCGUAGCACCACUUGGUGACUGAUUGGGGCAGUAAAAAUUCCUGAGCUACACCUGCAAUGCAUUAAAAGACACUGGUAGAAGAGCCAGCACCCAAAAAAUGCAGUAACCAUGCCAGCACCUGCCAGAUUGGCUUGGCCUUCCCAGAGUUGUACUGCACACAAGAAGAGUUUGUCAUUCCAAUACACAAAUUAUUGCCUUGCUAGACUUCGUUCCUGGGGACAGCUGUGUCUCGGUGACAGGUGAAAUUGCAUCAAGUGUAUUUCUCAAUGCUCAAAUGCAAACUGAGCCCUUGCUCAUUUACAUGCCUGUGGCAUCCAGCUGCUUGGUGUAUUUUUGGAGCAAAAGCCACACUCAGCCACAGAAAUGCUUUCCCUUUGCUGCCUCUUUGUCUUUUUGAGCCCCACGAAACUCA